RNAcentral lists this long non-coding RNA (2343 nucleotides) under Sus scrofa (pig). RNAcentral describes it as "lncRNA (ENSSSCG00030037050.1, ENSSSCG00060002078.1)". The record is from RNAcentral. Lineage: Eukaryota; Metazoa; Chordata; Mammalia; Artiodactyla; Suidae.
AGGCUACUAAAACAAAAUACUGUAAACUUGGUAAACCACAGAAAUUUAUUUCUCAUGGUUUUGGAGGAUGGAAGUCCAAGAUCAAGGUGUCGUCAUGAUUGGGUUGUGAUGAGAACCCUCUUUUAGGUUGCAGACAGCUGACUUCUUUUAUGCUCACAAGGCUGAGAGUGAGUUAGCUCUCUGGCCUCUUCUUACAGGUGCCCUAAUAUUAUUCGUGACCUAAUUACUUCCCCAAAGUCCCACCUCCAGAUACCAUAUUGGGGUGGUGUUCUAAUACAUAAAUUUGGAGGUGGGAGUGGGGGAAGGCACACAUCUUCAGUCCAUGACACCAACUAUAUGCCAUAUACAAGAAAUUUACUUUAUAUGUAACAGUGUAUGUAGGCUGAAAAUAAAAGAUGAAAAAAAAAUAUGUCUUGCAAAUACAAAUUCUGUUUUCUGGGAAAAAAGCAGAAGUGUCUAUAUUAAUAUCAGAUUAGUAAAUUUCAGAGAAAAGAAAAUUACAGGAGACAAAAAAACACGUUACAUAAUGAUAAAAGAGUUAUUCCACCAAGAAAACCUAGCAAUCCUAAACAUGUAUGCACCGAACAACAAAGUUGAAAAAUAUUGAUAAAAAUGCAAAAGCUGAUAAAACUGAAAAGAGAAAUAGAGAAAUUCAUAAUUAUGGUUAGAGACUUCAGUAUCCCCCUCUCAACAACCAAUGGGACUAAACAGAAAACGAGUAGAGGUAUAGACGGACUUAACAAUACCAUAAACCAGAAUCUAAUCAACAUUUACAGACCACCCCACUCCACAAAACAGAAUACACAUUCUUUUCAAGUGGCCAUGGAACAUAUACCAAGACAGAUCACAUCCCAGACUACAAAAUAAAUCUCAACAAAUUGAAAAGAGUUGGAAUCAUUCAAAACAUUUUGUCUGACCAAAAUGGAAUCAAGCUAGAAAUCAAUAACAGAAAUAUAAUGGAAAAGUCUCCAACUGUUUGGAAACAAAGCAUUACCUUUUCAUAUAAUCUAAGGUCAAAGAUGAAAGUCUCAAUGGAAAUACAAAAGAAAUCAAACUGAAUGAAAUUGAAAAUGCAGCAUAUUAAAAUUUAUGGUUUGGUAGCUAAAGCCAUGCUUAGAGGGAAAUUUAUAGCAUUGAAUGCUUAUAUCAAAAAAGAGAAAAAAAGUCAUAAGUCAAUAAGCUCCCAUCUCAGGACCUUAGAAAAAUAAGAUCAAAAUAAAUGCAAAGCAUGGAAAAUAGCAACAACAAAAGACAAAAAAAAAAAAAAAAGAAAGAAAUGAAGUAAGAUAUAUCACUAUAGAUGCUGCAGAUAUUUCUUAAAAAUAAGAGUGUACUGGUGUUCCCGUCCUGGUGCAGCAGAAACGAAUCUGACUAGGAACCAUGAGGUUGCGGGUUCUAUCCCUGGCCUCACUCAGUGGGUUAAGGAUCCAGCACUGCCGUGAGCUGUGGUGUCAGUCACAGAUGCGGCUCAGAUCUGGUGUUGCUGUGGCUGUGGUGUAGGCAGACAGCUGUAGCUCCAAUAUGACCCCUAGCCUGGGAACUUCCACAUGUCUCUUGUGUGGCCUUAAAAAGCAAAGGAAAAGGGGAUACUGGAGUUCCCAUCAUGGCUCAGUGGGUAACCAGCCUGAAUAGUAUCCUUGAGGUUGUGAGUUUUAUUCCUGGCCUCAAUCAAUGGGUUAAGGAUCCUGUGUUGUCGUGAGCUUCGGUGUACAUCACAGACAUGGCUUGGAUCCCAUGUUGCUGUGGCUAUGUUGUUGGCUGGCAGCUACAGCUCCGAUUUAACCCCUAGCUUGGGAAUCUCCCUAUGCCACAAGUGUGGCCCUAAAAAACCAACAACAAAAAAAAGGAUACUACAAACAACUCCACCCACUUAAAUUUGACAACUUAGAUGACAUGAACUUGUUCUUCAAAAACUAUCAACUAAUUCAACUCAAUAUAAAAUACAUAAAUUGAAUAACCCUAUACUUUUGAAGAAAUUAAAUUUGUAAUUUAAAAACUCCCAGUUUAUAGGAGUUCCUGCUGUGGCACAACUGGAUGGGUGGCGUCUCUGCAGUGCCAGGAUAUAGGUUCCAUCCCCAGCCUAUCACAGUGGGUUAAAGGAUUCAGCAUUGCUGCAGCUGCACUCAGAUCUGAAGGUUGAAACUGUGGCUCAGAUCUCUCUGGCCCAGGAACUCCAUAUGCUGUAGGGUGGCCAAAACAAAAAAACAAAACAAUUUUUUUAAAAACCUCCCAAAUUAUAAAUCUCCCGGCCCAGGUAGCUUCACUGGAGAAGUCUAGAUAAGCACCAAUUCAUUAACUAAAUCUGUGUGGAGCUGGCAGAUGGAUAGGAGCAUAGACCAAUAG